AACGAACGCUGGCGGCAUGCCUAACACAUGCAAGUCGAACGAAGGCUUCGGCCUUAGUGGCGCACGGGUGCGUAACGCGUGGGAAUCUGCCCUUUGCUUCGGAAUAACAGUUAGAAAUGACUGCUAAUACCGGAUGAUGUCGCAAGACCAAAGAUUUAUCGGCAAAGGAUGAGCCCGCGUAGGAUUAGCUAGUUGGUGGGGUAAAGGCCUACCAAGGCGACGAUCCUUAGCUGGUCUGAGAGGAUGAUCAGCCACACUGGGACUGAGACACGGCCCAAACUCCCCGGGGGGGGCGAAGGGGGGAAAUUUGGACAAGGGGCGAAAGCCUAAUCCAGCAAGGCCGGGUAGGUGAUGAAGGCCUUAGGGUUGUAAAGCUCUUUUACCCGGGAGGAUAAUGCCGGUACGGGGAGAAAAAGCUCCGGCUACCUCCGG
Molecule: ribosomal RNA, 432 nt
Filed under: uncultured bacterium
Lineage: Bacteria
Description: partial 16S ribosomal RNA
Rfam family: Bacterial small subunit ribosomal RNA
Source: RNAcentral